CUGUAUUACACCCUGGGUGGUAGGCUGACAUUCUCUCUGUAUUACACCCUGGGUGGUAGGCUGACAUUCUCUCUGUAUUACACGCUGGGUGAUAGACUGACAUUCUCUCUGUAUUACACCCUGGGUGGUAGGCUGACAUUCUCUCUGUAUUACACGCUGGGUUAUAGGCUGACAUUCUCUCUGUAUUACACCCUGGGUGAUAGACUGACAUUCUCUCUGUAUUACACCCUGGGUGGUAGACUGACAUUCUCUCUGUAUUACACCCUGGGUGGUAGGCUGACAUUCUCUCUGUAUUACACCCUGAGUGAUAGACUGACAUUCUCUCUGUAUUACACCCUGGGUGAUAGACUGACAUUCUCUCUGUAUUACACCCUGGGU
Molecule: non-coding RNA, 378 nt
Organism: Pelobates cultripes (western spadefoot toad)
Lineage: Eukaryota; Metazoa; Chordata; Amphibia; Anura; Pelobatidae
Source: the annotation of a GenBank genome assembly